RNAcentral lists this unclassified non-coding RNA (308 nucleotides) under Hevea brasiliensis (rubber tree). Lineage: Eukaryota; Viridiplantae; Streptophyta; Magnoliopsida; Malpighiales; Euphorbiaceae. The record is from RNAcentral.
AUGUGAACCAAUGUCCACAUCCUCAAAAAGAUCAGUCAGAGGAUCUCUUUUAGAAUCUUGUUGCCUCAUCCUUCUCCUUGAGUUUCCUUGGAAAUUGUCUGCUUCGGAUUUUAUAAGGUAACGAGUCUUCUCCAACACGUCUUCAAGAAACAGCUCUGCCACUGGAUACGUCAAACCCGGUAUAUGAAUCGUGGGUGCAUCUCUAAAGUAUUUGGAGAACAACUCAGCAUUAAUAGUAGCACUCAUCAGAAUGAGACGCAAAUCAGGUCGUCGAGGAAGGAGGUCUCGUAAAAUUAUCAAGAGGAAGU